Molecule: ribosomal RNA, 478 nt
Filed under: Brachymonas sp. canine oral taxon 015
Lineage: Bacteria; Pseudomonadati; Pseudomonadota; Betaproteobacteria; Burkholderiales; Comamonadaceae
Description: bacterial SSU rRNA
Rfam family: Bacterial small subunit ribosomal RNA
Source: RNAcentral
GAGUUUGAUUCUGGCUCAGAUUGAACGCUGGCGGCAUGCUUUACACAUGCAAGUCGAACGGCAGCACAAGGAGCUUGCUCCUGGGUGGCGAGUGGCGAACGGGUGAGUAAUGUAUCGGAACGUGCCUGGUAGUGGGGGAUAACCACUCGAAAGAGUGGCUAAUACCGCAUGAGAUCUCUGGAUGAAAGCGGGGGACCUUUGGGCCUCGCGCUACCGGAGCGGCCGAUAUCAGAUUAGGUUGUUGGUGGGGUAAAGGCCUACCAAGCCUGCGAUCUGUAGCUGGUCUGAGAGGACGACCAGCCACACUGGGACUGAGACACGGCCCAGACUCCUACGGGAGGCAGCAGUGGGGAAUUUUGGACAAUGGGCGCAAGCCUGAUCCAGCAAUGCCGCGUGCAGGAUGAAGGCCCUCGGGUUGUAAACUGCUUUUGUACAGAACGAAAAGUCUCUGGCUAAUACCUGGGGAUCAUGACGUACU